CCAUCAUUAUUUUGGAAAUAAAAAAGGGAAACCACAGUCAAAAGGACUCUUCUGCAAAUAAACAAAAGUUAAAAUUUGACCACGAAAAUUCAAACUGAGCUAGCUUUGGCCAAAUCGAUUCAUUUAAUAAAUCUGCAAUGUGAGGGGCAUAUAUAAUAAAUGCAUGAUGCAUCACUUCUCCAUAUAUUACGAUAACCUUCUCUUACCCUGAUCAAUGCCUAACUCGUGUUGAUGUUGCUGAUGCUGAUGCUGUUUCUAUUCAAACCUAUAAGAAAGCAUCUCCCUUUUGGCUCCCUCUGGUUAGUCCUAGUCAUUGUUAAUCUUUGCUUUUUAAAUAAAGAAGGUGGAGAAGCUGUCAUGCUCCCAUCAAUUGCUUCAACAUUAGAAGUCAUCAGCUUGCCACCUGCUACCGCUGAAAUUGGACUGAGGACAGAGCAUAGCUCUAACGACUUAGGGAAUCAACUAGAGACAAGUUGAGCAGGCGGAAUCAGGCGUGGGGGGUGGAUCUCUUUCUUGUGUGGCCUGCAAAAUGUCUACUUGUUAGAGAGUUUUCGGCGGAUGACCCUUGGAUGCCUAAGUCAGAAUCGAGAAGCCAUAAUAUGGAAGGGAGAAAAUUUAGCAGAGUAAGGGC
Molecule: long non-coding RNA, 631 nt
Filed under: Phoenix dactylifera (date palm)
Lineage: Eukaryota; Viridiplantae; Streptophyta; Magnoliopsida; Arecales; Arecaceae
Description: long non-coding RNA (PDAC_LNC008396)
Source: RNAcentral